This 68-nucleotide transfer RNA is filed under the name Marmota monax (woodchuck). RNAcentral's name for it is "tRNA.Ala". Lineage: Eukaryota; Metazoa; Chordata; Mammalia; Rodentia; Sciuridae. The record is from RNAcentral.
GGAAUGUAGCUCAGUGGCAGAGCACUUGCUUAGCAUGUGUGAGGCACUGGGUUCAAUCCUCAGCACCA